Molecule: small RNA, 119 nt
Filed under: Marmota monax (woodchuck)
Lineage: Eukaryota; Metazoa; Chordata; Mammalia; Rodentia; Sciuridae
Source: RNAcentral
GCCAGGCAUGGUGGUGUACUCCUGUAAUCCCAGCGGCUUGAGAGGCUGAGGCAGGAGGAUUGCAAGUUCAAAGCCAGCCUCAGCAACUUAGCAAGGCACUUAGCAAGACCCUGCCUCUA